RNAcentral lists this long non-coding RNA (458 nucleotides) under Ananas comosus (pineapple). RNAcentral's name for it is "long non-coding RNA (ACOM_LNC000947)". The record is from RNAcentral. Lineage: Eukaryota; Viridiplantae; Streptophyta; Magnoliopsida; Poales; Bromeliaceae.
CAAUAGUUUUCAGUAGGUAAGCCGCCGAGAAAAGUGAAUUACGCCACUGCAACUAAGGGUGUGUUUGGUUCUACGUAAAAUUGUGGAAAAAAAAAUUUUGGUGGAAAAAAAAUUUUCGAUGGAAAAAAAAUUUUACGUCGUUUGUGUUUGGUUUGUAGGAAAAAAAAAUAGUUUUCUGUGACGGUUGUUUGGUUGAAAGGAAAAGAAAAAAAUAAAAAACUAUUUAAUAUAUAUUUUCUCUUAUUAUAUAUAUUAUUAUAUAUUAUUAAUAUAUAAUAAUUAUCAUAAUAUAUUUAAUUAUUAAAAUAUAUAUUUAUAAACAAGAUAUAUUUAAAAUAUAUUAUAUAAUAAAUAUAUAAUAUAAUAUAUAAUAAUAAUAUAUAUUUAAUAUUAUAAAAUAAAUUAUUAUAUAUUUAUAAAUAAAAUUAUAUAUAUAUAGGUGAGUGGUCCAGUGUGGA